GAUGAACGCUGGCGGCGUGCCUAAUACAUGCAAGUCGAGCGAACAGACGAGGAGCUUGCUCCUCUGACGUUAGCGGCGGACGGGUGAGUAACACGUGGAUAACCUACCUAUAAGACUGGGAUAACUUCGUGAAACCGGAGCCAAUACCGGAUAAUAUAUUCAACCGCAUGGUUCAAUAGUGAAAGACGGUUUUGCUGUCACUUAUAGAUGGAUCCGCGCCGCAUUAGCUAGUUGGUAAGGUAACGGCUUACCAAGGCAACGAUGCGUAGCCGACCUGAGAGGGUGAUCGGCCACACUGGAACUGAGACACGGUCCAGACUCCUACGGGAGGCAGCAGUAGGGAAUCUUCCGCAAUGGGCGAAAGCCUGACGGAGCAACGCCGCGUGAGUGAUGAAGGUCUUCGGAUCGUAAAACUCUGUUAUUAGGGAAGAACAAAUGUGUAAGUAACUAUGCACGUCUUGACGGUACCUAAUCAGAAAGCCACGGCUAACUACGUG
RNAcentral lists this ribosomal RNA (497 nucleotides) under uncultured bacterium. RNAcentral's name for it is "partial 16S ribosomal RNA". It matches the Rfam family "Bacterial small subunit ribosomal RNA", at positions 28 to 507 of the family's 1533-position model. The record is from RNAcentral.